UACGGAGGAUCCGAGCGUUAUCCGGAUUUAUUGGGUUUAAAGGGUGCGCAGGCGGGAGAUUAAGUCGGCGGUGAAAUUUUGCAGCUCAACUGUAAAAGUGCCUUCGAAACUGGUUUCCUUGAGUGUAGAUGAAGUAGGCGGAAUUUGUGGUGUAGCGGUGAAAUGCAUAGAUAUCACGAGGAACUCCGAUUGCGAAGGCAGCUUACUAAGCUACUACUGACGCUCAGGCACGAAGCGUGGGAGUCAAACAGGAUUAGAUACCCUCGUA
RNAcentral lists this ribosomal RNA (268 nucleotides) under uncultured prokaryote. RNAcentral describes it as "partial 16S ribosomal RNA". It matches the Rfam family "Bacterial small subunit ribosomal RNA", at positions 524 to 792 of the family's 1533-position model. The record is from RNAcentral.